GCCCGGAUGGCGGAAUUGGCAGACGCACAGGACUUAAAAUCCUGAGGAGGUUGACCUCCGUGUGGGUUCGAGUCCCACUCCGGGCA
Molecule: transfer RNA, 86 nt
Filed under: Candidatus Aminicenantota bacterium
Lineage: Bacteria; Candidatus Aminicenantota
Description: tRNA-Leu
Rfam family: tRNA
About the family: Transfer RNA (tRNA) molecules are approximately 80 nucleotides in length. Their secondary structure includes four short double-helical elements and three loops (D, anti-codon, and T loops).
Source: RNAcentral